This is a long non-coding RNA of Tachysurus fulvidraco (yellow catfish), 1593 nucleotides long. RefSeq lists it as uncharacterized. The record is from RefSeq and is a predicted model, not a curated record. Lineage: Eukaryota; Metazoa; Chordata; Actinopteri; Siluriformes; Bagridae. The transcript has 3 exons.
GAGAUGUCACUCUUACCUGUCUUUAAAACUUGAGAGCCCUAUUGAGACUAAUUCUCUAACUUUUAGAGUUCAUUCCCUUGCUAACGGCUAAUCACCGCAACACUCUAUGUUGGUGGUUAUUUAUGAACAUAUAGAGCCCGCUAACCAUGCUAAACUUUUAGGCACAUUUUCAUUUUUUUAAACCUUUCAAGUUCCCGCUCAUUUUUGUUGCAUUGAUUUUAUUUUAUUUGGUUUGUUACCACAGUGAUGGCAAAGGCAGGCGGAAAACGAGUCUUUCAGCUGUAUUAGUUAAAUUAGCCAGGCGGCUUGUGUAUUUGACUCGUUAGCUUUGCUGUGGAAGCAGCCAUUGAGAGAUCUCCUGAUUAGAUUAGAAGAUGAAGUUUCAAAGAAUAAAGUGGGAAGAUUAUAACAAAACAUUAGAGCAGGUCCCUCCUCUUCAACCUGGAUCUCUUUGCUAACUGCUUCUCACAUCACAUUGCACCAUGUUUAUGAUCAGUUAGAGUCAGGACCCAUUACCCCAUCUCUAUCACCAUGUUAGAGUGGCGAUGAUUGAAGCGUAGCGAGGGUGAAGGAAGCAGCUGGCUUCAGUAAUUGCAGAGGGAGUCGCUAACCAGCAGUGAGCAGAAUCAUGGCUGACUACAUGUUCCUCCGUGUUUGGAAUCCUUCUCCAACAAGGCGGCAUGCACAAUAGCCCAGCAGGAGAGCGGAUAUUAAACCCCCUCAUUACACUCGCUAAAAACGUCUACCCUGAAGUGUCCCACCUUCGGCCUUGUUCUCAAUACGGAGAAUUGUCCAAGCGCCUCCAGAUUAGUGUCGAGGGUAGACGCCUGUAAUAAUGUAAUAAUUCUCAAUGAGGCUCUCAUUCCUUAAAUACUACAGCAGUUUGGCAUCAAGUACUAAUUAGUUAUAUUAAAUGUUCUGGAACUUUCUCAGAUAAGAUUUCUCUUAGCUACAAGAAAGUUAGCGCUUUAGCUCUGACACUGGAGACUCCUUCCUGAGAUAUGUUAGGCUUCUAUUUAACACUGAUGGGUUAUAUUUCUGUAGUAUAUUGCAUGAGUGUGUGUGUGUGUGUGUGUGUGUGUGUGUGAGUGUGAGUGUUGGCGUGCAGCUCGUCUCGUCCUCUCUUUGCCCACUUUACCUUUAACCUUGCUACGUUAGACUUCAGCCACAACAACAAGGACAAAUGUCACGAGUCUGACGGCUCCUUUUAUUUUUUCCCCCGCUAAAUUAUUCACGCCGCGCUGUCCGACAAAGCUGCACCGCUCUAAUGUCGUGUAAGAUAAACCUCUGACACGCUCACCACCAUUUUGUUGGGGGUUUUUUUGUUUGUUUGUUUGUUUCGUCUCUGUCCAAAUAAACACUGGUCAAAAUUUUAAACAAUUCCAACAUGUUGGAUUUUCAGGUUUUGACAGUAUUUUUAUUUAUUUUUUUUUAAUUUAAAUUUUUGUAGAGUUCAAAAUAAAUGUGAUUGCAGCAGCGUCCUGAUUGUAACAGUGACUCUGCUUUUUUUUUUAUUUUAGUGAUAUCUAAAACUCUAAAUUCUAAGGAAAGUUAAAGGUCUUUUAAAAAGUUUUAGAGGUUAAAGAAUAGCGG